This 492-nucleotide ribosomal RNA is filed under the name uncultured bacterium. RNAcentral's name for it is "partial 16S ribosomal RNA". It matches the Rfam family "Bacterial small subunit ribosomal RNA", at positions 29 to 507 of the family's 1533-position model. The record is from RNAcentral.
AGUGAACGCUGGCGGUAGGCCUAACACAUGCAAGUCGAACGGCAGCACAGUAAGAGCUUGCUCUUACGGGUGGCGAGUGGCGGACGGGUGAGGAAUACAUCGGAAUCUACUUUUUCGUGGGGGAUAACGUAGGGAAACUUACGCUAAUACCGCACACGACCUACGGGUGAAAGCAGGGGAUCUUCGGACCUUGCGCGAUUGAAUGAGCCGAUGUCGGAUUAGCUAGUUGGCGGGGUAAAGGCCCACCAAGGCGACGAUCCGUAGCUGGUCUGAGAGGAUGGUCAGCCACACCGGAACUGAGACACGGUCCCGACUCCUACGGGAGGCAGCAGUGGGGAAUAUUGGACAAUGGGCGCAAGCCUGAUCCAGCCAUACCGCGUGGGUGAAGAAGGCCUUCGGGUUGUAAAGCCCUUUUGUUGGGAAAGAAAAGCAGCAGGUUAAUACCCCGCUGUUCUGACGGUACCCAAAGAAUAAGCACCGGCUAACUUCGUG